RNAcentral lists this ribosomal RNA (596 nucleotides) under Fonsecaea pedrosoi. RNAcentral describes it as "eukaryotic LSU rRNA". The stretch from base 217 to 371 matches the Rfam family "5.8S ribosomal RNA". The record is from RNAcentral. Lineage: Eukaryota; Fungi; Ascomycota; Eurotiomycetes; Chaetothyriales; Herpotrichiellaceae.
AGGAUCAUUAAUGAGUUAGGGUCUCCUAGGCCCGACCUCCCAACCCUUUGCUUACUAGACCUCAGUUGCUUCGGCAGGCCCGUCUUAAUCUGACCGCUGGAGGACCGCCUAAUGCGGGUGUUGCCUCUGGCCAGUGUCUGUCGAUAGCCUAAUCUCCUAACUCUGGAUCAAUCAUGAUUUACAAUGUCUAAGUGAUUUUAUUCAAUUAAAAGCAAAAACUUUCAACAACGGAUCUCUUGGUUCUGGCAUCGAUGAAGAACGCAGCGAAAUGCGAUAAGUAAUGCGAAUUGCAGAAUUCCAGUGAGUCAUCGAAUCUUUGAACGCACAUUGCGCCCUUUGGUAUUCCGAAGGGCAUGCCUGUUCGAGCGUCAUUAUCACCCCCUCAAGCCCCUGUGCUUGGUGUUGGACGGCUUGGUGGAGCGAGUUCACACUUUCCACCCCUCCUAAAGACAAUGACGGCGGCCUGCGGAACCCCCGGUACACUGAGCUUCUUUAUUGAGCACGUAUCGGAUGAAGGGUGCCCGGGACCCGGUCUUCUCCCUCACGGGAACACUUUUUCUUUUUAAGGUUGACCUCGGAUCAGGUAGGAAUACGCG